GGAGAGAUGUCCGAGCGGUUUAAGGAGCACGCCUGGAAAGCGUGUAUAGGGUUUUCCCUAUCGGGGGUUCAAAUCCCCCUCUCUCCG
This 87-nucleotide transfer RNA is filed under the name Criibacterium bergeronii. It matches the Rfam family "tRNA". Rfam says of the family: Transfer RNA (tRNA) molecules are approximately 80 nucleotides in length. Lineage: Bacteria; Bacillati; Bacillota; Clostridia; Peptostreptococcales; Filifactoraceae. The record is from Rfam by way of RNAcentral.